RNAcentral lists this ribosomal RNA (305 nucleotides) under uncultured bacterium. Its description in RNAcentral is "bacterial SSU rRNA". It matches the Rfam family "Bacterial small subunit ribosomal RNA", at positions 335 to 656 of the family's 1533-position model. The record is from RNAcentral.
UUACCUACGGGGGGCAGCAGUGGGGAAUAUUGCACAAUGGGCGAAAGCCUGAUGCAGCAACGCCGCGUGAAGGAAGAAGGCCUUCGGGUCGUAAACUUCUGUCCUUGGGGAAGAAGAACUGACGGUACCCAAGGAGGAAGCCCCGGCUAACUACGUGCCAGCAGCCGCGGUAAUACGUAGGGGGCAAGCGUUAUCCGGAAUUACUGGGCGUAAAGGGUGCGUAGGUGGUUUCUUAAGUCAGAGGUGAAAGGCUACGGCUCAACCGUAGUAAGCCUUUGAAACUGGGGGACUUGAGUGCAGGAGAG